RNAcentral lists this long non-coding RNA (257 nucleotides) under Chloebia gouldiae (Gouldian finch). RNAcentral's name for it is "Erythrura gouldiae (Gouldian finch) lncRNA (ENSEGOG00005000671.1)". The record is from RNAcentral. Lineage: Eukaryota; Metazoa; Chordata; Aves; Passeriformes; Passeridae.
GUUGGGAAUCACAGCCCAUGCAUGGACAAGCCUGUAUUGAGACUGCUGUAAUCCCUGGGUGGAGCAGAGGGAGCGAAGGAGAGGUGCAAAAUCCACAGAUCCUUGGAUCCUCCUCUUUCUCAUUUUCUUGGCCACCUUGGGGGAGUCCUGCCUGUCAUCCAAGCUUGAACCCUCUGCUCCAGAGCAUGCUCAGCACUCUGGUCCCGUGUGAAGACCCAGGGGCUGACAGAGGUUCUUUAGCUGCAGCACCCCAGUGA